UCGGUCAGCUGGAGAGCCGCUUCUCCUCGCCGCCGGCCCGGGCCGCCUCGGGCGCAGCGCGGGUUACUCGCGGUCACUCUCCGGCAGUCAGACGAGUCUCUGGGCGUCGGUUACUCAGGGAGCGGAGCGAGAGCGUCCGCGUGCAAUUGGGGUUCACAUUUCCAUCGCUUAGAGGAGCCAAAUCAGAAACAUAACAAGCUCCAAAACGACGCAGAAAGCUUCAGUGCACCGAGGGAGGGUCAGCACUGUUUGACCCUGAGUUUCAUUUUAUGAGCUUGUUCGCUCUCUUCAACGUUUAAUGGGCAGAAAAUCAAGGAGACAACAAUAAACUAUUAAAAAAAAAAAAAAAAUCCCAACAGAAGGAGGGAUGUUCUACAAAAUACCUAACCAGUGCUCCUGAGAACCUGUCACAGCCAAGAAGAGCCCAAGGGGCUCAUGGAUGGGAUCCUGGACAGAAAAAGGACAUUAGGGAAAAACAAAGGAAAUCUGAAUAAGGCUAUUUCAAUUGCAAUAGUCGUAACAGCCUUAAUUCCGUAAGCUGGACAAACCAUGAGCCCAGAUGCACCACACUGCAAUUUCAGCUGUGUAAGAGGAGCCCAGAGAAAAACGAAUGGUUCCUCUUUCCCCAGUCCCACGUCAAAACAAGUUGUGUCUGUGAACUCCCUUGGAAGAAGUCCACAUCUCCAUCUUUAAUAAGGAAAAGUUUAUAAGCAAAGGCAAAGUAUUGUUGGCGAUCUGCUGAAAUAAUUUCUGCGUCUUAAGUCACUAGAUGAAACUUUAGACAAUACUAUAAAUUUAUAUUUUAUAUUUAUCAAACUGUUAGUUUAAACAUCACAGUAUUGAAUAGUUUAUUAAAUGUCUAAUUUUUACAAAGCAAAUAUUAAUAGCAAGAGGCAAAAUGUUUGCAAAAUAUGUACAAAAGUAAAAAGCCUUAAUGAACUUGCAACUCAUUUUAUAAAUUCAAACCAUUCUUUCCACUUUUAGACUCCUUUAGAAAUAAUUUAUUGUCAAACCUGAACUAAAGCACUAACAAGAAAAUAAAAUUACAGUAUCAGAUAAUGUGCUUAGUUCCCAGAAAGUUAUAAAAAGAUACAUGUAUUAAAAAAAUCCUAAGUCACAAAUACUUUUAUACAGAGCUAAUACAAAUCUUGUUUUGUUAGGUACAGUAUCUAUGAGGUUGUUACAAAGUAUACUUUAAUAAGGCUUCUUGUGAUAAAUGAGCUCUCAUCACAUCACAGUUGUAUAGAAGAGCCAUUUAAAACAUUUUGCGAUUCUGCUUUCAAGUAAGAGGUUAAGAAAGGGUAAAUGGCAUAGGAGGUUGCAUUAUUAUGUAUAUUUUCCAAGAAUUAACCCCUACUCACCCACCCUACCUGGCCUUUUUUCCCCUGGUACCAUCAAAUAGGCAUGAUUGAGGACAAAUCCAUCAUUUGACUAUGGCAAGAAAUAAUUAUAAACAAGCUUUCUAAGUACAAACCAAAAUCACAUACCACGUAAGUAGCAUAUUACUAUUAUGAUAUUCAUGGACUGAGAAUGUGUGCAUAGUGAGUCCAGGCAUACUUCCAUCCAUCUGUACUUUAUUUUCAUCGUUAUUGUCAAGAGCAGAUUUGGGUAGGUCACAACAUCUCUAUCAACUCAGAAAAUACUGCCAUUAUCAUUCAUGCUUAAAAACAAUCAAUGUUUCACAUAAGCUCUGUUAUCUGAAACCAGAUGGUUAGACUGGAAUGCCACAAGAGUCAACACAUCUAUUUAAAUGCUACGUUCAAAUACAGACAUAAGAAUGCUGGUGGUACAAACAUGGUGCUUUAAAUGACGUUCAUAAUCACUUACCACCCAAAGGCUAAUAUCUACUUGAUGAUAUGUGAAAAAGCCAUAAAGUCUAACUUGUUUAAAAUGUUCGGGUUUAGACCUAUAUACUUCAGUCUCUUUGUAUAAAGAAGCUCACACCUUGUACCGUGAUACAACGGGUACGUACUAUACCAUGUGCUUUACUUAGAAAGUGGAGGCACAUACACAACCACCCACUUACAAAACAGCCGCUUUCUUCCUCAUGGUUACUAGAUUGAAGCCAAAAUAUAUCCUACAGUUUUAAAAAAAUCAGUAUUUUUACUCAAGCGGCACAACACAUGGACGAUCAUCUGUAACUAACAGAAUUUAGCAGGUUGAACUGAUGGGAAAGAGAGAGUGACCCUGUACUAAGAUUUCCAACUGAAAAAGACAUGUGCAAAAUUUCUGUUCCAGAUUCCUCAAAUAAAACUAAAAGAAAUGAAAAGGUAACAGAGUGACUUUCUCUAGAUUUAUUAGGGAGUUUGUUACAAAUGUUUGGGCUUUACAGGCAUGAUUUCAUGGAUUCAAACAAGAAAUUAAGAGUUAACACUGAUAUUUAACCUUCCCAUUACAUAUACAGAUAUAACAUUGCUACAGAUUGCAAUGGAGAGAAUCUUGUUUCAAAUGGCCUAUUUUGCGGUUUUGUUUAAAUGUAUCCAUUAACUAAUGAAAGCACCAAUUUGAGGGCUUCUUCAAAUAGUGAUUGGAGUUUCAGGACAUAACAGUGCAUAACUUGGUAACUUUAUUCUUCAUUUAAAUAAGGCAUAACCGGAUAUGUGUACUAAUGAUGAAAAUACAUUUUAUCAAAAGCAUAAAUACAAGUAUUUGGGUAUACAUUGAAAGUUAAGAUUUACCCAUCCCCUCUUACAAAAAAUUAUAGGGCUUAUGAUUUCUAUUGAAUCUAAAACAAUACUUACAGUUAUUUCUGGCAUUAAGCAAUUUUACCUCCUUUUAUUUUAAAGCAACCACUGCCCCCUGACUAAACAAGGAUUUCCCUAAGCAGCCCCACUGCAGAGAUGAACCAGCAGACGUUCCCCAUGCAAAGUACAUGCCAAUGUAACUUGUUAAAACAAAUCAAAAAAGAAUGAUCUUUUUCACUCCACCUUGCCUUCUUUGGUUGCAGUUGCUCUCUAUCAAGUGUCCUUUCCAGGCAAUAAAAUUGAAAUGAUUUCAAUUUAAUAAAAUAUUUGGCAAAAAUCAACAAUUUAAGUUAUUUAAAAUAAUAUUUAAGUGGCAGAGGCAUACAACUUGGAUUAUUAUUUAGAACUUCAGAAAACAUUUAACAAAACUCUCUUUAAAAAAUCAAGGCUCAAACUUGUGUUGUUCUUUGAUUUAUAAGGCAACUCUGUAUGAUAUAAAUUUCUUCAAGGUCAGUGAAGACACUUGUGUGAUAUUUCUUGAGAAUAAAACAAGAAGGCAUUCAGGUUUAAGAACAGAAUGUAAUAUAGAAUUAGGCACAUUUUAUUUCAAAACAUAACCAUGAGGACAGAAAAACUGAACAUAUAACAAAGAAUAUUAAAUUUAAAUUACUUUUUUAGAGGUUAGAGGGAAUUGGCAUAAUGAAAAUUACAAGCAUCCUUUCAAUUCUGAUCACUAAAUAUUCUCUCUCUCUUCGUAUAGUGGUAUUUCAGAAGGAUCUGGUUUUCAUGCUACCACUAUAAGACUCCUUCAAAUGGUUUAAAAAUACAGUAUAUUACAAAUGUGAUCUAAAGCCUUUAGAUUGAACCUCACAGCUCUACUGAAUGUUCUACACAAGUCUGCCAUGAAACACAAGGAAUUUACUGCCUCAAAAUAUUUUCUAGAUUUUAAAAGAAUGUCGACUCGGAGACUUCACACAUGCCAGGAAAGAAAAUCACAAAUGCCAAAAAUAAUAUCAUAUCUAUUUGGUGUUUUAACAUUUCUUGGUGGUAGACAACAUGGAGAAACUUGGAGAUUUCUGCUUUGUCAGGCAAUGUUUAUGAUUCACAGCACAGAUAUUAAGUAUAAUUUAAAUAAGACUACGUUUCCUCUUUAUGUAGGGAAUUUAUGUUAGCCUUCAGUAAAAUUAAAUAUUCUGACCAUUCCAUAAAACUAUAUGCUAAAUGUUCACAUAGACUCUUCACCAAAAAAUCCAAUGUUACUGUGCACAUACAUAUCCAGAGGGAGUCACUAGCACUGAGAUUACAUUAACCCUGUGGAUUUAAACAAUGUAUCCUUUUUGGCAAGAAGCACUAGAUGGAAAACUAUUCAAACAUGCAUGAAUUCUCCUGUGCACACCUGUGUUAUGAUGUGGGGCUACACGUUUGUAGCUCAUGUAUUACCAACACAUGAAACACCGGCAGCUAGUAUGCGUAUGACAACGGUAGCACUUCAAAUGCAAGAAAAGUAGGUAUGUUAAGAGCAAUGCCUGGUUGGCUCACUGAGAAGCCCACCUCUUACCCUUGACAGCAGAACAGACCAAGCGCCAAUGUCCUGGAAAGGCUGGGUGAUCCACAAUGUUGACCAAUCUUUGAAGGACUUUCUAACCAAUAAAAUACCUGAGAACACAGUCAGCUAUACAGUAAAGUGACAGAUAUCACAGUCUUAAUCACAAUUUUCAAAUACAGGAGAAAAGCUGUUCAACUUUUCAAACUGUCACCAGCCUUGUAAAUUUGUUUCUCUAAAUCCAAUUCUAGCACUACAUAUAACCUACAUGACAGUAUUUUUUACUACUGCAAACCAGCCAUUCUGGUGAGUUCACUAUGAAUGUAUUUAUAAUCACAAAGCUACUUCAUGGGUGCGUUUUAACUUGGUAAGCAGCGGGAGAAGUCAAAUGUAAUUGUCUUUAAGUGUGAACUAAACAAUUACCAUUUAUCCAUAGAAGUAUCCUUAAAACAUUUAAAAUGUACCUCGAAAAAGCCGGUAUUUCAUAAACAAUAAUUAUACAAAAAUGUACAUACUGUAUCUUUUAGAGAUACACAAGAAUGAGUAAGAAUCUCAAAUAAUGCCUUCUUGAAUAGCUUGACAGAGAAAUACUGCCUUGGCAAGCCCCAAAUAAACAGAAAAUCCCAUAAAUGCCACAGUCUGGAGUUGAUGGAAAUGGACAGGAGAGCAAAAGAAAGAUGGUUGUGAUGGUGCAAUAAUGUUUUCUACAAUAAGGACCAAAAUCAUAUGAGACAGGAUUUAGAAGUGUGACUGGAAAAGGUAUGUUUACUCAGAAAAU
Long non-coding RNA from Choloepus didactylus (southern two-toed sloth), 5005 nucleotides. RefSeq lists it as uncharacterized. The record is from RefSeq and is a predicted model, not a curated record. The transcript is spliced from 4 exons. Lineage: Eukaryota; Metazoa; Chordata; Mammalia; Pilosa; Megalonychidae.